GGCACGAUAGGCGAUACGCUUGAUAACGAGUGAGCGUGGCAGGCCGAGGGCAGACGCCGCUUCACGCAGCGGAUUGGGUACCAGGCCCAGCAUGUCUUCGGUGGUGCGCACCACGACCGGGAUCACGAUCACGGCAAGCGCCAGCGCAGCGCCGAGAAGCCGCCCAUCGGUACAACGACCGCACCAUACACGAACAAACCAAUGAUGAUCGACGGCGCGCUCAGCAGGAUGUCGU
This 235-nucleotide unclassified non-coding RNA is filed under the name Hevea brasiliensis (rubber tree). The record is from RNAcentral. Lineage: Eukaryota; Viridiplantae; Streptophyta; Magnoliopsida; Malpighiales; Euphorbiaceae.